GGGGAUGUCAGGUUUCGACGGGAUUCGUUUGGCUUAAACUGCAAGUAGAUGGCAAUCUUAAAAUGCGUCAGUUAAAUAUAACUGGAAACAAUUAUCAAAUGGCUUACGCUGCUUAAUAGAAGCAUAUAGCGUAGCGCUUCUUUUAAGGUUUUACCUACGGACUUUAUAAGAGGCUCGAUUUAGUAGGUUAUAUCUUGUUCUUGUUUCGUGGACUUGAUGAAUUUUAGAAACUAGUUAUCAUAUUAGUUGUUAACUACUGUUUAUGAUAGCGAAUUUUCUUAGUUAACUAAACUUGUAGACGUUUUUGUGAGACGGGUUUCGGACAGGAGUUCGAUUCUCCUCAUCUCCACCA
RNAcentral lists this transfer-messenger RNA (352 nucleotides) under Bacillota bacterium. It matches the Rfam family "transfer-messenger RNA". From Rfam's summary of the family: Bacterial tmRNA, also known as 10Sa RNA or SsrA, is named for its dual tRNA and mRNA-like properties. Its role is to liberate the mRNA from a stalled ribosome. The record is from RNAcentral. Lineage: Bacteria; Bacillati; Bacillota.